RNAcentral lists this transfer RNA (103 nucleotides) under Candidatus Altimarinota bacterium. Its description in RNAcentral is "tRNA-OTHER". It matches the Rfam family "tRNA". Rfam says of the family: Transfer RNA (tRNA) molecules are approximately 80 nucleotides in length. Their secondary structure includes four short double-helical elements and three loops (D, anti-codon, and T loops). Lineage: Bacteria; Candidatus Altimarinota. The record is from RNAcentral.
CGGUGUGUAGCUCAGUCUGUUAGAGCGCUCUAUGCCUUUUCUCUUACAAAGGGGCUAGGUUUCUAUAGAGAGGUCGGGAGUUUAAAUCUCCUCACGCCGACCA